RNAcentral lists this ribosomal RNA (487 nucleotides) under uncultured bacterium. Its description in RNAcentral is "partial 16S ribosomal RNA". It matches the Rfam family "Bacterial small subunit ribosomal RNA", at positions 355 to 833 of the family's 1533-position model. The record is from RNAcentral.
UGGGGAAUUUUGGACAAUGGGCGAAAGCCUGAUCCAGCAAUGCCGCGUGUGUGAAGAAGGCCUUCGGGUUGUAAAGCACUUUUGUCCGGAAAGAAAUGGCUCUGGUUAAUACCUGGGGUCGAUGACGGUACCGGAAGAAUAAGGACCGGCUAACUACGUGCCAGCAGCCGCGGUAAUACGUAGGAUCCAAGCGUUAAUCGGAAUUACUGGGCGUAAAGCGUGCGCAGGCGGUUGUGCAAGACCGAUGUGAAAUCCCCGAGCUUAACUUGGGAAUUGCAUUGGUGACUGCACGGCUAGAGUGUGUCAGAGGGGGGUAGAAUUCCACGUGUAGCAGUGAAAUGCGUAGAGAUGUGGAGGGAAUACCGAUGGCGAAGGCAGCCCCCUGGGAUAACACUGACGCUCAUGCACGAAAGCGUGGGGAGCAAACAGGAUUAGAUACCCUGGUAGUCCACGCCCUAAACGAUGUCAACUAGUUGUUGGGGAUUCA